Molecule: long non-coding RNA, 631 nt
Filed under: Nicotiana benthamiana
Lineage: Eukaryota; Viridiplantae; Streptophyta; Magnoliopsida; Solanales; Solanaceae
Description: long non-coding RNA (NBEN_LNC026381)
Source: RNAcentral
GGUGUUUGAACAAAAGAUACAACAAAAGGAUAAGAGAACUAAACAAAGAAAAUGACUGGAAAUAAUAAAAGACUGAAACUUGCAUUAGACUAACGGUGUAACGGUUCGAAUAACAAAGUAAGCAAAACAAACCAGAGUACACCCUGAAACAAACUUGGACAAAACUAAAUAAACCAUUGUGGCAAAAAUGGAAGGAUAAGAGGGUUUGACACAAGACAAUAUCCGUAUUACAAUCCUAAGAUUAAUCCAGACAACAGAAAUGACAACAAAAUGAACCACCAAAGCUUCACUCCGGCUGACCAAGAAUUGGAGCGUCUUUCCACUUACCGAGCGCGAUACCUUAGCCACUAAUUUGCUCAUCAGAUUCAGCAGUCUUCUCCAAUUUCAACAUCACUAUCUUCACUUAGAAAGUUCCCGAGAGGAUUCUCAUACUCCAUAUCAUCAUGCCUCAUGAUGUGCAGGUAAAGAAUUCUGCGCGAUAUUUUGGGUGUCACUGUCUUGGAUCACAAUCAGGUUUUCCUAGAUUCUGGUGUUUCCACCUUACCACAAACCAACCACCUCAACUUCUUUCACAAUUCGAAACAUGUUAGAAUGGACUCAGUCUGUCCUUAUUACUAUCAACAUUUUUCAC